This 299-nucleotide ribosomal RNA is filed under the name uncultured bacterium. Its description in RNAcentral is "partial 16S ribosomal RNA". It matches the Rfam family "Bacterial small subunit ribosomal RNA", at positions 333 to 646 of the family's 1533-position model. The record is from RNAcentral.
UGGGCCCUACGGGGGGCAGCAGUGGGGAAUAUUGGGCAAUGGGCGCAAGCCUGACCCAGCAACGCCACGUGAAGGAAGAAGGCUUUCGGGUUGUAAACUUCUUUUCUCAGGGAUGAAGAAAGUGACGGUACCUGAGGAAUAAGCCACGGCUAACUACGUGCCAGCAGCCGCGGUAAUACGUAGGUGGCAAGCGUUAUCCGGAUUUACUGGGUGUAAAGGGCGUGUAGGCGGGACUGCAAGUCAGAUGUGAAAACCACGGGCUCAACCUGUGGCCUGCAUUUGAAACUGUAGUUCUUGAG